GAUGAACGCUAGCGGCAGGCCUAAUACAUGCAAGUCAAGGGGGCAGCAAUGUCACCGGCGGACGGGUGCGUAACGCGUACAGAACGUGCCUUUGGGCGGGGGAUAGCGUUGGGAAACUGACGGUAAUACCCCAUGGCAUCGGGAACCGGCAUCGGUUUUCGAUUAAAGUUACGGCGCCCAAAGAUCGCUGUGCGUCCGAUUAGCUAGUUGGCGGGGUAACGGCCCACCAAGGCGACGAUCGGUAGGGGGUGUGAGAGCAUGGCCCCCCACACGGGUACUGAGACACGGACCCGACUCCUACGGGAGGCAGCAGUAAGGAAUAUUGGACAAUGGAGGGAACUCUGAUCCAGCCAUGCCGCGUGAAGGACGAAGGCGCUCAGCGUUGUAAACUUCUUUUGAAUGGGAACAAAACACCGGACUUGUCCGGGACUGAGGGUACCAUUAGAAUAAGCACCGGCUAACUCCGUG
RNAcentral lists this ribosomal RNA (468 nucleotides) under uncultured organism. Its description in RNAcentral is "bacterial SSU rRNA". It matches the Rfam family "Bacterial small subunit ribosomal RNA", at positions 28 to 507 of the family's 1533-position model. The record is from RNAcentral.